GGGGAGCGUUCUGUAAGCCGAUGAAGGUGUAUUGAGAAGUAUGCUGGAGGUAUCAGAAGUGCGAAUGCUGACGUGAGUAACGACAAAACGGGUGAAAAACCCGUUCGCCGAAAGACCAAGGGUUCCAGUCCAACGUUAAUCGGGGCUGGGUGAGUCGACCCCUAAGGCGAGGCCGAAAGGCGUAGUCGAUGGGAAAAUGGUUAAUAUUCCAUUACUUCUGUGUAAUGCGAUGAGAGGACGGAGAAGGCUAAAUCAGCCUGGCGUUGGUUGUCCAGGUGAAAGGAUGUAGGCAUGUAUCUUAGGCAAAUCCGGGGUACUCUAUGCUGAGAUCUGAUAGCAAGCUGUACUUGUACAGCGAAGUGGUUGAUGCCAUGCUUCCAGGAAAAGUCUCUAAGCUUCAGUUACACAGGAAUCGUACCCGAAACCGACACAGGUGGUCAGGUCGAGUAGACCAAGGCGCUUGAGAGAACUCUGCUGAAGGAACUAGGCAAAAUGGUACCGUAACUUCGGGAGAAGGUACGCUGUUGUUGGUGAUGGAACUCGCUUCCUGAGCUGACGACAGCCGCAGAAACCAGGCCGCUGCAACUGUUUAUUAAAAACAUAGCACUCUGCAAACACGAAAGUGGACGUAUAGGGUGUGAUGCCUGCCCGGUGCUGGAAGGUUAAUUGAUGGGGUUAGCGUAAGCGAAGCUCUUGAUCGAAGCCCCAGUAAACGGCGGCCGUAACUAUAACGGUCCUAAGGUAGCGAAAUUCCUUGUCGGGUAAGUUCCGACCUGCACGAAUGGCAUAAUGAUGGCGGCGCUGUCUCCAGCAGAGGCUCAGUGAAAUCGAAAUCGCUGUGAAGAUGCAGUGUACCCGCGGCUAGACGGAAAGACCCCGUGAACCUUUACUGCAGCUUGACACUGAACUUUGACCUUACUUGUGUAGGAUAGGUGGGAGGCUUUGAAGCUGGAACGCUAGUUCCAGUGGAGCCGUCCUUGAAAUACCACCCUGGUAAUGUUGAGGUUCUAACUCUGUCCCGUGAUCCGGGACGAGGACCGUGUCUGGUGGGUAGUUUGACUGGGGCGGUCUCCUCCUAAAGAGUAACGGAGGAGUACGAAGGUGCGCUCAGCGUGGUCGGAAAUCACGCGUAGAGUAUAAAGGCAAAAGCGCGCUUAACUGCGAGACCCACAAGUCGAGCAGGUACGAAAGUAGGUCUUAGUGAUCCGGUGGUUCUGUAUGGAAGGGCCAUCGCUCAACGGAUAAAAGGUACUCUGGGGAUAACAGGCUGAUACCGCCCAAGAGUUCAUAUCGACGGCGGUGUUUGGCACCUCGAUGUCGGCUCAUCUCAUCCUGGGGCUGAAGCAGGUCCCAAGGGUAUGGCUGUUCGCCAUUUAAAGAGGUACGCGAGCUGGGUUUAGAACGUCGUGAGACAGUUCGGUCCCUAUCUACCGUGGGCGCUGGAAAUUUGAGAGGAUCUGCUCCUAGUACGAGAGGACCAGAGUGGACGAACCUCUGGUGUACCGGUUGUGACGCCAGUCGCAUCGCCGGGUAGCUAUGUUCGGAAGGGAUAACCGCUGAAAGCAUCUAAGCGGGAAGCCUACCUCAAGAUAAGAUUUCCCUAGGACUUUAUGUCCUCUAAAGAGCCGUUCGAGACUAGGACGUUGAUAGGUUGGAUGUGGAAGCAUAGUGAUAUGUGAAGCUGACCAAUACUAAUUGCUCGUGAGGCUUGACUAU
Molecule: ribosomal RNA, 1716 nt
Filed under: Acinetobacter baumannii 1277411
Lineage: Bacteria; Pseudomonadati; Pseudomonadota; Gammaproteobacteria; Moraxellales; Moraxellaceae
Description: bacterial LSU rRNA
Rfam family: Bacterial large subunit ribosomal RNA
Source: RNAcentral